CAUACGUUCUGCAUAAGAAAGAAAAAGCUGGGAAGAAACUUGAAAGGGCUUUUUUCUAUGCAGCGUGACUAAAAAAACGUUGUGUGUGGAACCAUCAUUCGUCUUUUUGAGUAUGUAGCUUUGGGAAGAAAACCAGAAGGCCCAGGACAUUGAACGGACACACAGUUUGAUGGACAGUAAGCUGUACUUGGUGUCUGGCAAGACCCUGAAUCAGUGAUCCAGUAGGAAAGAGCUCUGACAACAUCCGAAGCGUGAUGUUUGGCAUUUCCUCACGAAGAAUGAGUGUUGGGAAGGAAAACCAGUAGGGGAUCAUCUGGUUAGGAUGCAACUCAAAGACUGCUUCAGG
Mauremys reevesii (Reeves's turtle) is the source of this 346-nucleotide long non-coding RNA. RefSeq lists it as uncharacterized. The record is from RefSeq and is a predicted model, not a curated record. The transcript has 3 exons. Lineage: Eukaryota; Metazoa; Chordata; Testudines; Geoemydidae.